This 164-nucleotide ribosomal RNA is filed under the name Sabal gretherae. RNAcentral describes it as "5.8S ribosomal RNA". It matches the Rfam family "5.8S ribosomal RNA". Rfam says of the family: 5.8S ribosomal RNA (5.8S rRNA) is a component of the large subunit of the eukaryotic ribosome. It is transcribed by RNA polymerase I as part of the 45S precursor that also contains 18S and 28S rRNA. Functionally, it is thought that 5.8S rRNA may be involved in ribosome translocation. The record is from RNAcentral. Lineage: Eukaryota; Viridiplantae; Streptophyta; Magnoliopsida; Arecales; Arecaceae.
GGUAUGACUCCGGGCAAUGGAUAUCUCAGCUCUCAUAUCGAUGAAGAAUGUAGCAAAAUGUGAUACUUGGUGUGAAUUGCAGAAUCCCGCGAACCAUCGAGUCUUUGAAUGCAAGUUAUGCCCGAGGCCACUAGGCCGAGGGCACGCCUACCUGGGCACCACGU